AGUCUUAGUGGCGCACGGGUGAGUAACACGUAGCUAAUCUGCCCUAUGCUAAGGGACAACAGUUGGAAACGACUGCUAAUACCUUAUACUCCGCUAUCACCUAAGUGGUAUCGGGAAAGUUUUUCGGCAUAGGAUGAGGCUGCGGUCUAUCAGCUUGUUGGUGGGGUAAUGGCCUACCAAGGCUAUGACGGAUAGCUGGUCUGAGAGGAUGAUCAGCCACACUGGAACUGAGACACGGUCCAGACUCCUACGGGAGGCAGCAGUGGGGAAUUUUACACAAUGGGCGAAAGCCUGAUGUAGCAACGCCGCGUGGAGGAUGACGGAUUUAGGUCUGUAAACUCCUUUUAUAAGGGAAGAAAUUUGACGGUACCUUAUGAAUAAGCACCGGCUAACUCCGUGCCAGCAGCCGCGGUAAUACGGRGGGUGCAAGCGUUACUCGGAAUCACUGGGCGUAAAGGGAGCGUAGGCGUUCUAUUAAGUCUUGAGUGAAAGCCCGCAGCCUAACUGCGGAACUGCUCAGGAAAC
RNAcentral lists this ribosomal RNA (525 nucleotides) under uncultured bacterium. RNAcentral's name for it is "bacterial SSU rRNA". It matches the Rfam family "Bacterial small subunit ribosomal RNA", at positions 88 to 633 of the family's 1533-position model. The record is from RNAcentral.